AUGGCCGACGGCGAGGACAUCCAGCCGCUGGUGUGCGACAACGGGACAGGUAUGGUGAAGGCCGGGUUCGCCGGCGACGACGCGCCCCGGGCGGUGUUCCCCAGCAUCGUGGGGCGGCCGCGGCACACGGGGGUCAUGGUGGGCAUGGGGCAGAAGGACGCGUACGUGGGCGACGAGGCGCAGUCCAAGCGUGGUAUCCUCACCCUCAAGUACCCCAUCGAGCACGGCAUCGUCUCCAACUGGGACGACAUGGAAAAGAUCUGGCAUCACACCUUCUACAACGAGCUCCGCGUGGCCCCCGAGGAGCAUCCCGUCCUGCUCACCGAGGCGCCCCUCAACCCCAAGGCCAACCGUGAGAAGAUGACCCAGAUCAUGUUCGAGACCUUCAACACCCCCGCCAUGUACGUCGCCAUCCAGGCCGUGCUCUCCCUCUACGCCUCCGGGCGAACCACCGGUAUCGUGCUCGACUCCGGUGACGGUGUGAGCCACACGGUGCCCAUCUACGAGGGGUACGCGCUGCCCCACGCCAUCCUCCGUCUCGACCUCGCCGGACGCGACCUCACCGACCACCUCAUGAAGAUCCUCACGGAGCGCGGCUACUCCUUCACCACCACGGCGGAGCGCGAAAUCGUCCGCGACAUGAAGGAGAAGCUCUCCUACAUCGCCCUCGACUACGACCAGGAGAUGGAGACCUCCAAGACCAGCUCCUCCGUGGAGAAGAGCUACGAGCUGCCCGACGGCCAGGUCAUCACCAUCGGCGCCGAGCGCUUCCGCUGCCCGGAGGUGCUCUUCCAGCCAUCCUUCAUCGGGAUGGAAGCCGCGGGGAUCCACGAGACCACCUACAACUCCAUCAUGAAGUGUGAUGUGGACAUCAGGAAGGACCUCUACGGCAACAUCGUCCUCAGUGGUGGCACCACCAUGUUCACCGGCAUCGCCGACAGGAUGAGCAAGGAGAUCACCGCCCUCGCGCCCAGCUCCAUGAAGAUCAAGGUCGUCGCCCCGCCCGAGAGGAAGUACAGUGUGUGGAUCGGAGGCUCCAUCCUCGCCUCCCUCAGCACCUUCCAGCAGAUGUGGAUCGCCAAGGCCGAGUACGACGAAUCCGGACCAUCCAUCGUCCACCGGAAAUGCUUCUAG
RNAcentral lists this ribosomal RNA (1134 nucleotides) under Triticum aestivum (bread wheat). Its description in RNAcentral is "partial small subunit ribosomal RNA". The record is from RNAcentral. Lineage: Eukaryota; Viridiplantae; Streptophyta; Magnoliopsida; Poales; Poaceae.